CCGCUGUACUGUUGGUGGUGACGCAACCGGAGACAACAUUUUUCAGGGCUGUGACCAUGACGGCGAAUUCUUGCUCUUGGGUAAGGCGAGGUGGUGAAAGUGGANNNNNNNGUCGUUCUCCGGAGAUCCAGUGAGUUUUCGCUUUGAUGGCUUGUGCAUGCUUGAUUUGGGUGAUGUUGAGAGAGAAAUCUGAAAUCUGUUGUUUGCGUUUCG
RNAcentral lists this unclassified non-coding RNA (213 nucleotides) under Hevea brasiliensis (rubber tree). Lineage: Eukaryota; Viridiplantae; Streptophyta; Magnoliopsida; Malpighiales; Euphorbiaceae. The record is from RNAcentral.